RNAcentral lists this ribosomal RNA (456 nucleotides) under Triticum aestivum (bread wheat). Its description in RNAcentral is "partial small subunit ribosomal RNA". The record is from RNAcentral. Lineage: Eukaryota; Viridiplantae; Streptophyta; Magnoliopsida; Poales; Poaceae.
UCCCGUCCAGACUCCAUCCGCUGGAACUAGACGGGUUCAGGGGAAUACUCCAGCAAGUCUGCCUACCAUAUGCAGUUCUCUGGUCUCUUGGUGCCUUUCCGCUCUGCUAAGGUUUGGAAAGCACAUGCCACCCCCAAAUGCAAGCUCUUCGCCUGGCUUGUCCUGCAUGGAAGGAUCCUCACAGCGGAAAACCUGGCAAUCCGUGGAUGGCCACACAAUCCGAUAUGCUGCCUUUGCAUGGCAUCCAAUGAGACGGUCACUCAUCUCUGUAGAGAUUGCCCCUUCUCGCAGGCGGUCUGGAGGAGCGUCAACGCAGCGGAGGGAAUGCCUAACCGGAGCCCACCGGACGAUGGAACCUCCAUCAACACGUGGUGGGAGGGCUUUCUUGCCAGUGUUCCAGCUCAGAACAGGCGGGAGCGUAGUGGAGCCAUGAUUUACACGCUCUGGAACAUCUAG